CGCCCUGUACGCGGCGGCCGGCGAGGCGGCGGCACUGGGGCUGCCGCUGGUGGAGAUCGGCAGCUACUGCGGCCGUUCCACGCUGCUGCUGGCCGA
This 96-nucleotide transfer RNA is filed under the name Streptomyces noursei. RNAcentral describes it as "tRNA-Pro". The record is from RNAcentral. Lineage: Bacteria; Bacillati; Actinomycetota; Actinomycetes; Kitasatosporales; Streptomycetaceae.